AUGCAGGAAAUAGUUUGUGGUUGCUCGGGGAAAGCAGGGGUUGAGAACACAAGAUCUUGUCGUUGUGAGUGUCCUGCUCUAAUUAGGCUGCUACGAGCUGAGGACAACGGAUGGUACAUUGCAGAGCAUAGGGAUACACACAACCACUCCUUGUCGCCUAAUUUCAGUGAGACAAUGCACUGGCCAUCUCACAAACACAUCGAUGUGUACACCAGAGAUCUUGUGAAGCAGCUGAGGCAGAACAAUGUGAAUUUGGCAAAGGUGUACAGCAUCAUUGGGGGUUUCUUUGGAUCGAUGGAGAAUGUUCCAUUCAUGAAGAGGUCAUUGCGUAAUCUGUGUGGGAAGAUAAACAGGGACCAUGCAGAAGAUGAUGUGAAGAAGACAAUUGAUGUGUUUGCCGAGAUAGGGGCUAAAGAUCCACACUUCACAUACAGGGUUCAAUCUGACAACGAGGGGAGGAUCAAGAAUCUGAUGUGGGCAAGCGGGAGCAGUAGGUUGCAGUACUCAUUUUUUGGGGAUGUCAUCACAUUUGACACUACUUACCGAACUAACCUGUACGACAUGCCAUUCGGGUUGUUCGUUGGCGUAAACAACCACUUCCAGAGUGUUAUCUUGGCAGGAGUGCUUGUGCGUGAUGAAACUGAAGAUAGUUUUGUAUGGGUUUUCUCCGAAUUCCUGCGAAUGAUGGGUGGCUCUCCACCUGUGACCAUACUAACAGAUCAGAACCGGGCUAUGGAGCUUGCAAUCAAGAACGUUAUGCCAAACACGACCCACCGGUGGUGCAAGUGGCAUGUCCUGAAGAAAGCGAAAGAGUCACUCGGUAGCUUGUACACAAAGAAAAGUGAAUUCAGGGCUGAAUUUUAUAAGGUGAUAAAUCACAUGUUGACUGAAGAUGAAUUUGAAAAAGGUUGGGAGACGCUGCUGGACAAGUACAAGCUGCGAUCUCACCAAUACAUGACAAACCUAUUUGAGAUUCGUAGGAAAUGGGCAAAACCUUAUUUUAAGGGCGUUUUUUGUGCAAAAAUGACUAGCACGCAAAGGAGUGAGAGUGCAAACCAUAUGCUAAAAAAUUAUGUCCCUCCUGGUUGCCCUAUGCACAUGUUUGUUCACAAAUACAUGAGGUUGCAAUUCGACCGGGAAUCGGAGGAGAACUAUGAAGAAAAACGAACGCGAAUUGGAAGGCCGUUGCUAAGAGCGAACCUUGCUGUGGAAAGACAUGCGAGCAAGAUAUAUACGAGAGCCAUGUUUGAACAGUUUAGGCAUAUACUUUAUGAAUGUGGACCUUAUCAAGUGGAGGAGGUGGAGAAACACCAGACAUAUAUUGCAAUCCACAGCGAAGCGGAGAAGAGAGAGAAAUGGUGCAAGGUGUCGUACAAGGUUACAAUGCUAGAUGGGGGCAAUGAAUUUGACUGCGAGUGUGGACAAUUUGCACACAUGGGCCUGCUGUGCAGUCAUGUGCUCAAGGUGUUAGAUUUAUUCGGGUUAAAGAAAUACCGGCAAAACAUAUCGUGA
RNAcentral lists this ribosomal RNA (1512 nucleotides) under Triticum aestivum (bread wheat). Its description in RNAcentral is "partial small subunit ribosomal RNA". The record is from RNAcentral. Lineage: Eukaryota; Viridiplantae; Streptophyta; Magnoliopsida; Poales; Poaceae.